This 253-nucleotide ribosomal RNA is filed under the name uncultured organism. Its description in RNAcentral is "partial 16S ribosomal RNA". It matches the Rfam family "Bacterial small subunit ribosomal RNA", at positions 524 to 776 of the family's 1533-position model. The record is from RNAcentral.
GACGUAGGGGGCAAGCGUUGUCCGGAAUUACUGGGCGUAAAGCGUGCGUAGACGGUCAUACAAGUCGGGUGUGAAAGCCCCGGGCUCAACCUGGGAAUUGCAUUCGAGACUGUAUGGCUAGGGUGCGGAAGAGGGAAGUGGAAUUUCCGGUGUAGCGGUGAAAUGCGUAGAUAUCGGAAGGAACACCAGUGGCGAAAGCGACUUCCUGGUCCGACACCGACGUUCAGGCACGAAAGCGUGGGGAGCAAACAGG